Molecule: ribosomal RNA, 119 nt
Filed under: Ananas comosus (pineapple)
Lineage: Eukaryota; Viridiplantae; Streptophyta; Magnoliopsida; Poales; Bromeliaceae
Source: RNAcentral
GGAUGCGAUCAUACCAGCACUAAUGCACCGGAUCCCAUCAGAACUCCGCAGUUAAGCGUGCUUGGGCGAGGGUAGCACUAGGAUGGGUGACCCCCUGGGAAGUCCUCGUGUUGCAUCCC